RNAcentral lists this ribosomal RNA (861 nucleotides) under uncultured bacterium. Its description in RNAcentral is "bacterial SSU rRNA". It matches the Rfam family "Bacterial small subunit ribosomal RNA", at positions 9 to 888 of the family's 1533-position model. The record is from RNAcentral.
GAGUUUGAUCAUGGCUCAGAGUUAACGCUGGCGGCGUGCCUAACACAUGCAAGUCGAGCGAGCUUGUAGCAAUACAAGUUAGCGGCAAACGGGUGAGUAACACAUGGGAAACCUCCCUCAGAAUGGGGAACAUCUCCGAGAAAUCGGAGCUAAUACCGCAUAAGGCCACAGUCUGGCAUCAGACAGGGGUAAAAGCAGCAAUGCGUUUUGAGAUGGUCCUGUGUCCUAUCAGCUAGUUGGUGAGGUAACGGCUCACCAAGGCUAAGACGGGUAUCCGGCCUGAAAGGGUGAACGGACACACUGGAACUGAGACACGGUCCAGACUCCUACGGGAGGCAGCAGUGGGGAAUUUUGGACAAUGGGGGAAACCCUGAUCCAGCGACGCCGCGUGAAGGAUGAAGGCCUUCGGGUUGUAAACUUCUUUUGGAGGGGACGAAUAAAUUGACGGUACCCUCAGAAAAAGCCACGGCUAACUACGUGCCAGCAGCCGCGGUAAUACGUAGGUGGCGAGCGUUACUCGGAAUUACUAGGCGUAAAGCGUAUGUAGGCGGUUGUAUAAGUCUAUGGUGAAAUUUCCUGGCUCAACUGGGAAGGGACAUAGAUACUGUAUGGCUUGAGUGUUGGAGGGGGAGACGGAAUUCCUGGUGUAGUGGUGAAAUGCGUAGAUAUCAGGAGGAACACCGAUGGCGAAAGCAGUCUCCUGGCCAAAUACUGACGCUGAGGUACGAAAGCUAGGGUAGCAAACAGGAUUAGAUACCCUGGUAGUCCUAGCUGUAAACGAUGUUCACUAGAUGUGGGAGGUAUCGACCCCUUCCGCGUCGACGCUAACGCAUUAAGUGAACCGCCUGGGGAGUACGGCCG